GUGCUUGCUUUGGCAGCACAUAUACUAAAACUGGAAUGAUACAGAGAAGAUUAGAUGGCCCCUGCUCAAGGAUGACAUGCAAAUUCAUGAAGCAUUCCAUAGUUUU
Small nuclear RNA from Microcebus murinus (gray mouse lemur), 106 nucleotides. NCBI's taxonomy places the organism in Eukaryota, Metazoa, Chordata, Mammalia, Primates, Cheirogaleidae. The record is from Ensembl.